AAACAAUGUAAUGGCUUGGCUCAGAAAAUAAUUUUAUGACGUCUUUUAAUUCAAGUUUCUUAGUUUUUACAGUUCAAGUACUUUUCAGACUACUCUGGUUCUCUUCCAAAUUUAUAUGUGAGAUUCUUGAUAGGAGAGAAUUGUAAAUACAAUAAGGAACAUCAGCCUUAGCAUAUUUGUUAAUGUUUAUUUGGCCCUCUGGGAAAUAGGCCAGUAAAUUUUUAUUGUUUACUUUGAGGGGUUAUUUUAGUGAAAGUGACCCAAAUCAAAUCAAAACAUUUAAAUACCUACCCCUUGGGUUAUGGAUGAAGUGCAUAUGGAAACCACCCAAGCUUUAGGUGCUGCUAUUAGUGACAGAAAUAGUAACUGCUAACACAUUGUUUAUUCUUUGCCAGAAACUUUUAUAUUUGAAAAUACAUUCAAGGAGUUUCCUAGUGGCCUAGCAGUUAAGGACCCAGUGUUGUCACUGCUGUGGCACACGUUAGACCCCUGUGGCCAAAAAUAAAAUCCAUUCAAUUCUUGUAACCACUUUAUGAGGGAGAUGUAUCAUUAUUCCCAUACUAUAAGGUAAGGAAACGGAGUCACAGGGUUAAAAUAGCAUACCUAAUGCCGCAUAACUAGUAAGGGGAGGAGUCAGGACUCAAGCUCUGGUAAUUUGAUUGCAGAACUCACACUCAGUAAUUACAUCUACAACCUCUGUCCUAUAGUUAACAAGAGGUAGAGGAGACAAAAUUAAAUAUUAAGCCCUAAAAUGUUCAAAAUGAUAGUGAUACCUUCCAAAGAAAGUCUUAAAGUUAGGUUUGUAUGUGAAAGUACCAUACUAAGCACAAAUUAGUUUCUCACAUAUUCCAUGAUGGUACUACUGUCCCAUUGUAAGGAGGCAUGCUCUGACAAGUGUUUCGGUAACACAGGAUGUGGGAUGUUUAUGUGUUCUUGUCCCUCAGUGUGUAUGUGUGGUCCAUGGAUAUACUUGUAGCUAUAUGAAUUCAGUCGGCCUUUAAUAGUGUCCUCCCCUGAGAAAACUGUCCAGAAUAAAGCCACACAAUCUAUAGGUCACACUUGGUUGUACUGUUUUUGAGGUAUCAGCAUCAAACAGCAUUGUCAUCUCACUUUACAUGUCUCUGGAAGCUAAUCAAAAUCUAAAGGAAAAUUGACCUUUUGUAACUAAAAGACCACAAACAAACUAUACAUUUAAAUUGUAAACUUAGUUUGCAAAUUACCUAUCCCUAAGCUAUCAGAUAUACCAUUUUCUUAGUAUUUCAUGUCAAUUUAAAGAAUUGGACUUCUGGCAAAGCUUAAUAAUCAUUAACUUCUUUCUGUCUUACAGAGCAAUUCCAGGCAGUAUAUAGCAAGCUCUUACACAGCCUUCAGACAUACUCUUGGGUAUUACCUCAGAGAGGCAACCUCGUCCCCCCGCCAUUUCACAUACACAGAAAAUUGAUAGCUCCCGUUUCUGUUUUAUCAACCCUGUAGUCGUUUCAUUAUUGCUUAUGUGGCCUCAUAAUUGUGAUUAUUUUCUUCCUUAUUUCUCUAAGAUUAGCCUGUAAGCCUAAAAGGCUUGAGCCCAGGCAGUUAUCUUAACUUAUUUGGUGACUAAUGUAGUAAAUAGAGCCAGUGACUUCACAUAGCACUCAGUAUUAUGUUAGUUCCCUUCCUUACUAUGGAAUACAUUGAUACCAAUAUUAGUAUGACUACUCAAAACAACUUACUUUUUAGAUAGCCAGAGUUAGACCUUACUUUUCAGUGGAAUUCUCCUAGUCUCAAUUAAGUCAAAUCUAUUUCCAGAUUACCAAUAUCACAUUUUCAUUGAAGGAUCAGAUGGAAAGAGAAAUGAAAAACAUGAAAUAGUUCUUGCCAGGUAAUGGCACGUUUUAUAUGUGAAUUAAGUCUUUGUAAAGGCUUUUUAUCUCAACUAAAAUGGUGUAUUAGUUAAGGAAUAAACAAUUUCAGAGAGUACAUUUUAUCUCCAAGGUAACACGGACAAUAGAAACUUGACGAUGUAACUGAUAUUAAGUCUUAGAAAACUGUCUCUAGCAGAUUGAAAUGGUUUCCCAGAUGUUCUUUCUGAGGUGUUAGAAGAAAGCACUAUGGAAGUCAGUAAAUCCAGUUAGCUUUGCUACAAUCUCAAGAUUCAGGGUUUUUUAAAGUAUAAAGUGCUUUUAAAAGCAUUAAAAUUAUUUAAUGGCUGUUUUUCCCUCUUAACCAUUCAUCUGACUGACCCGACAGUUGACUGCUUGAAACAGCUUUAAAAUCCAAGCUAACCUUGCUUAGGCUGAUGAAUUCAUAUUAGGUUGUAUGUAACAAUCCAACCAGAUUGCCUUUGUUUUUACUUCAUCAAGAAAGAAUUUCACUUGCAUCUUUCACACUGUGAACAUUAGGGCAUGACCUUUUUUUAUAGCACUGCAUUUGUGUUCUUUUCUUGCCAAUCUCCCAGACUCUGAAGUUUACCUGUCUGCCUGAACUCAUAGUACGCAGCCUCUGAAUCCUACCUGCCUAAAUCCAAGACAUUCAGAUGUGUUGUCCUGCAUUGGGAAAUCAUCUGGCUUCUGAAUUCCAGCUUGAAGUUCCCAAAUUAACUCAGUACUCUGCUGGCUUUCUGAUCAAUUUCACCUGGUGGCCUCUUAAUGCUCUUCAUAGUUAAUGCCUCCCAAACUAGGCAUGACCUACCUGUUAAUAAAACAGUUGGGAGUUCUAUAAUUUAAAAAUGUGUUCCUUGGUCAUAUACCUGAUAUUUGCUACUCAAAGAUUUUUAUUUUCAAAAUGUUUUCUAAAAUUAACUGCUACUGCCCGUAAUACUGAUCACCCUCUUUUUUAAACAAGGAAAAAGCCUGAAAUAUAUCAUUGCAUUAGUGUAGGAUUUUGACAUCAGGAUUCUAAAUACAACACAUAGCACAGUAUCAACACUUAGCUUUAAAUAGGUAACUGCUUGAUAGAAUUUAUCCAGAGACCUGCAAAAGAAAGCAUGAGAAUGAUGAAAUCGUCUUAUGACCUCAUCUUCAAUCUAGGGCUGCCCACAUAAUUACUCAUGAUGGAGAGGUCUAAAGUUAUUAGAAAUUACUUUUUUUUUUUUUUUUUGGCUAAGCUUACUUUUCAUCUUGUUUCACUUCCUGUCUUAGUACGACAAUUUUUAAAUGAAAUUGUGCUGUUUAAAUUUUCAUAAUUUUUAUUUAUUCAUGUAUGGGUUGUGUAAAUUUAUAAUUUGUGACAUUUAAUGUAGUUCAAGUAACACAAUUUUAGUAAGGACAUUAAAAUUAAAUUGAAUACUUUCCUGACACAUAGUAGAUAUCCAAUAAACAUUUAAGUUGAUACUGAAUUAACAAAUCUGAUUUACUUAACAUGGUAGUAAGUCAGAAUUUUUAGAAUUCUUUUAUCAGAAGUCUUAAGUUUACAACCUUUUCUGUGUUUUCAAAAGUUCCCGUUGUGGUGCAGUGGAAACAAAUCUGACUAGUAACCAUGAGGUUUGGGGUUUGAUCCCCGGCCUCUCAAUGGAUUAAGGAUCCAGUGUGGCCGUGAGCUGUGGUGUAAUUUGAAGACAUGGCUUGGAUCCCCCAUUGCUGUGGCUGUGGCAUAGGCCUGAGGCUGCAGCUCCAAUUAGACCCCUAAGCCUGGGAACUUCCAUAUGCCACGGGUGCAGCCCUAAAAAGACCAAAAAAAAAAGCAUAUAAGAAUUAAGAAUAGGAGCUCCCGUCAUGGCACAGUGGUUAACGAAUCCGACUAGGAACCAUGAGGUUGUGGGUUCGGUCCCUGCCCUUGCUCAGUGGGUUGACGAUCCGGCGUUGCCGUGAGCUGUGGUGUAGACGCGGGGCGGAUCCCGCGUUGCUGUGGCUCUGGCGUAGGCCAGUGGCUACAGCUCCGAUUUGACCCCUAGCCUGGGAACCUCCAUAUGCUGCGGGAGCGGCCCA
RNAcentral lists this long non-coding RNA (3902 nucleotides) under Sus scrofa (pig). RNAcentral's name for it is "lncRNA (ENSSSCG00005035248.1)". Lineage: Eukaryota; Metazoa; Chordata; Mammalia; Artiodactyla; Suidae. The record is from RNAcentral.